AUUCAUUUAGGUGAAAGUAUUGUUCAGGGAUUUCCAGGAUAUGGAUCCCGUGAGAAAGAAGGCAAAAAGAUUUCCCUUUCAGCAGUAAAGGAACGUGAUGUAAGGCUUAUGGGACAUUCACUUCCAUCACUCCUAACAUGUGGCAUGACUGUGUCUACACCAGAAGGCGAGGCGUCACAGGCAAGCUUCACUGGACGAUGUGGAUCAUAAUGUGCAGCCAUGAAACAAAGAAACCCAAAAGAGUCCAUUUUUAAAAAAAGACAGAGAAACAAUGUGGUGAACUAUGUGCCUGUCGGGACACGCCCCCUGCUGACUGCUCCUGUGGCUCCUCCCACGGGCCCCUGUAUAAAGGCGAUCUGAGGCCUGACGCUCGGCCUCAGUCUCCAGGACAUUGUAUGAUAGACACUCACUCCUGGUUCCUUCUUCCAGUCAAUAAAAGCCGAUAUCUCGC
Hypanus sabinus (Atlantic stingray) is the source of this 451-nucleotide long non-coding RNA. RefSeq lists it as uncharacterized. NCBI's taxonomy places the organism in Eukaryota, Metazoa, Chordata, Chondrichthyes, Myliobatiformes, Dasyatidae. The transcript is spliced from 3 exons. The record is from RefSeq and is a predicted model, not a curated record.